RNAcentral lists this ribosomal RNA (565 nucleotides) under Ralstonia sp. enrichment culture. RNAcentral describes it as "bacterial SSU rRNA". It matches the Rfam family "Bacterial small subunit ribosomal RNA", at positions 28 to 588 of the family's 1533-position model. Lineage: Bacteria; Pseudomonadati; Pseudomonadota; Betaproteobacteria; Burkholderiales; Burkholderiaceae. The record is from RNAcentral.
AUUGAACGCUGGCGGCAUGCCUUACACAUGCAAGUCGAACGGCAGCGCGGACUUCGGUCUGGCGGCGAGUGGCGAACGGGUGAGUAAUACAUCGGAACGUACCCUGUUGUGGGGGAUAACUAGUCGAAAGAUUAGCUAAUACCGCAUACGACCUGAGGGUGAAAGCGGGGGACCGCAAGGCCUCGCGCAGCAGGAGCGGCCGAUGUCUGAUUAGCUAGUUGGUGGGGUAAAGGCCCACCAAGGCGACGAUCAGUAGCUGGUCUGAGAGGACGAUCAGCCACACUGGGACUGAGACACGGCCCAGACUCCUACGGGAGGCAGCAGUGGGGAAUUUUGGACAAUGGGGGCAACCCUGAUCCAGCAAUGCCGCGUGUGUGAAGAAGGCCUUCGGGUUGUAAAGCACUUUUGUCCGGAAAGAAAACGCUCUGGUUAAUACCUGGGGUGGAUGACGGUACCGGAAGAAUAAGCACCGGCUAACUACGUGCCAGCAGCCGCGGUAAUACGUAGGGUGCGAGCGUUAAUCGGAAUUACUGGGCGUAAAGCGUGCGCAGGCGGUUUUGUAAGA